AUAGAACUAUUGCUGCGGUUAAAAAGCUCGUAGUUGGAUUCGUGCUCGGGUAUCGGUCCUCGUCUCUUUGGCUUGGCACUGGUGUCCUGGGCUUGUGGUUGGUUCUCUUGUCGGCUCUCCUUGUGGGGGUUGGCAGGUGACUGACGAGUUUACUUUGAACAAAUCAGAGUGCUCAAGACAGGCGUUCAGCCUGAAUGUUCGUGCAUGGAAUAAUAGAAGAGGAUCUCGGUCCGAUUUUGUUGGUUUUGCGGUCGAGAUAAUGAUCAAUAGAGACAGACGGGGGCAUUCGUACUUCUGCGCGAGAGGUGAAAUUUUUGGACCGC
RNAcentral lists this ribosomal RNA (323 nucleotides) under Miculenchus salvus. RNAcentral's name for it is "bacterial SSU rRNA". It matches the Rfam family "Eukaryotic small subunit ribosomal RNA", at positions 601 to 928 of the family's 1831-position model. The record is from RNAcentral. Lineage: Eukaryota; Metazoa; Nematoda; Chromadorea; Rhabditida; Tylenchidae.